RNAcentral lists this ribosomal RNA (836 nucleotides) under Haptophyta environmental samples. RNAcentral describes it as "bacterial SSU rRNA". It matches the Rfam family "Bacterial small subunit ribosomal RNA", at positions 481 to 1325 of the family's 1533-position model. Lineage: Eukaryota; Haptophyta. The record is from RNAcentral.
GAGGAAUAAGCAUCGGCUAACUCCGUGCCAGCAGCCGCGGUAAUACGGGGGAUGCAAGCGUUAUCCGGAAUCAUUGGGCGUAAAGCGCCUGUAGGUUGUUUAAUAAGUCUGUUGUUAAAGACUAGGGCUCAACCCUAGAAAAGCAAUGGAAACUACUAGACUAGAGUAUGGCAGGGGCAGAGGGAAUUUCUAGUGUAGCGGUGAAAUGCGUAGAUAUUAGAAAGAACACCGGUGGCGAAAGCGCUCUGCUGGACCAUUACUGACACUCAGAGGCGAAAGCUAGGGUAGCAAAAGGGAUUAGAUACCCCUGUAGUCCUAGCCGUAAACGAUGGAUACUAGAUGUUGUGCAUAUCGUACAGUAUCGAAGCUAACGCGUUAAGUAUCCCGCCUGGGGAGUACGCUCGCAAGGGUGAAACUCAAAGGAAUUGACGGGGGCCCGCACAAGCGGUGGAGCAUGUGGUUUAAUUCGAUGCAACGCGAAGAACCUUACCAGGGCUUGACAUACUACAGAUUCUUUUGAGAAAAAGAAGUGCCUUCGGGAAUGUAGAUACAGGUGGUGCAUGGCUGUCGUCAGCUCGUGUCGUGAGAUGUUGGGUUAAGUCCCGCAACGAGCGCAACCCUUAUUUUUAGUCACUAAUUCGUUAGGUUCUCUAGAAAGACUGCCGGUGACAAACCGGAGGAAGGUGAGGAUGACGUCAAGUCAGCAUGCCCCUUAUGUCCUGGGCUACACACGUGCUACAAUGGUUAAGACAAAGAGUCGCGAGCUCGCGAGAGUCAGCUAAUCUCAUAAACUUAGCCUAAGUUCAGAUUGUAGGCUGCAACUCGCCUGCGUGAAG